Molecule: transfer RNA, 76 nt
Filed under: Candidatus Omnitrophota bacterium
Lineage: Bacteria; Pseudomonadati; Candidatus Omnitrophota
Description: tRNA-Ile
Rfam family: tRNA
About the family: Transfer RNA (tRNA) molecules are approximately 80 nucleotides in length. Their secondary structure includes four short double-helical elements and three loops (D, anti-codon, and T loops).
Source: RNAcentral
GGGUCCCUAGCUCAGCGGUUAGAGCAGUCGACUCAUAAUCGAUUGGUCCAGGGUUCGAAUCCCUGGGGACCCACCA